Triticum aestivum (bread wheat) is the source of this 126-nucleotide non-coding RNA. Lineage: Eukaryota; Viridiplantae; Streptophyta; Magnoliopsida; Poales; Poaceae. The record is from Rfam.
AACAUACUCCCUUCGUCCAAAAAAGCUUGUCCCUCAAAUGGAUGUAUCUAGCACCAAGUUAGUGCUAGAUACGUCCAUUUGAGAAACAAGGUUGGGACAAAUUUUUUCGGACGGAGAGAGUACAUC